UUCCAGACAUUUAGUAGUAACUCAUUUUGUUAGAGCAGUGUCCAUUGUGUCUGUUGCUAUGUAAGAGAAACCAUUAGAAAAAUCCAUUUCUUAAGAUUUCUUUGAUCCAAGAACAUUAAUUAUUUAACAAAUAUUUUAAUACAUGGAAGCUUGGAUUUAUUCAUUUGCCUAGCCUGAGAAAUAAUAAUUUUUAUUGGAUGUAUUCACUGCAUAAUAUAUUAGAGAUUUUUUUCACAUUAAAAAUGUUUCAUAACUUAGAAUUGACUUUGACCCCAAUUUAACCUAAUUAAUUUAAUAUAAUUGCCUCAGAUGAGAGUGAAGUUAUUUGCUUUCUGGAACACCAGUAGGAAAUGAUAGAACUGAGUCUAAGAACACAGACUGAGCAUGACAUCACAGGGUAAGGUGAGCCAGAGGGCUGGGUGACACGAUGUUUCCUCGUCCUCUGGUAUCCCACUGGUUGGGAGGAGCGGGGAGGACAGGGAAGCCAGGGGACAGCAGAGACCACAGAAGCAUUCUCCCUGUUGCUGCUCCAGUGACUGGCACAAGACGCUGAAAUCCAAGGUCAGGGGCAGCCUUCUGGGUGUUUCCCAGAGGAAAAGACCAGAAAUCACUCAAUCUGGAAGCUGAAGACGGCAUUCAAUUUUUGUCACAGGCCAUGGAUCCCAGUCAGGAAGAGGAAUGGAGAUGGCAACUAGGAAUGAAUGGUCAGAGGCAAAUGGACUAGAGACAGUCUCUUCCUGUGUCUACUUCAAAAAUCACGUUGUUUUCACUCAAAAAUGCCCCUAAAGCAGCCCAAACUGCCCACUUCUUUGUGACAGGUGUAUGUGGAUGUGUGUGGGUAUGUGUGUCUGUAGGGCAGGAGUAAUAGUAGCUUAAUAAAAGCAGACAGUUACAAAAAGGCAGGGUAAAAAUUCAUUUCCUUUAGAGAAAAGAUAUUUUCCUUUAAGUAUUAAAUAUGUAUUUUC
This 965-nucleotide long non-coding RNA is filed under the name Homo sapiens (human). Its description in RNAcentral is "HSALNT0026373". The record is from RNAcentral. Lineage: Eukaryota; Metazoa; Chordata; Mammalia; Primates; Hominidae.